GCGUGCUUAACACAUGCAAGUCGAACGGUGAAGCCCCGCUUGCGGGGUGGAUCAGUGGCGAACGGGUGAGUAACACGUGAGCAACCUGCCCCUGACUCUGGGAUAAGCGCUGGAAACGGCGUCUAAUACUGGAUACGAACCGCGAAGGCAUCUUCAGUGGUUGGAAAGAUUUUUUGGUUGGGGAUGGGCUCGCGGCCUAUCAGCUUGUUGGUGAGGUAAUGGCUCACCAAGGCGUCGACGGGUAGCCGGCCUGAGAGGGUGACCGGCCACACUGGGACUGAGACACGGCCCAGACUCCUACGGGAGGCAGCAGUGGGGAAUAUUGCACAAUGGGCGGAAGCCUGAUGCAGCAACGCCGCGUGAGGGAUGACGGCCUUCGGGUUGUAAACCUCUUUUAGCAAGGAAGAAGCGUGAGUGACGGUACUUGCAGAAAAAGCGCCGGCUAACUACGUGCCAGCAGCCGCGGUAAUACGUAGGGCGCAAGCGUUAUCCGGAAUUAUUGGGCGUAAAGAGCUCGUAGGCGGUUUGUCGCGUCUGCUGUGAAAUCCCGAGGCUCAACCUCGGGCCUGCAGUGGGUACGGGCAGACUAGAGUGCGGUAGGGGAGAUUGGAAUUCCUGGUGUAGCGGUGGAAUGCGCAGAUAUCAGGAGGAACACCGAUGGCGAAGGCAGAUCUCUGGGCCGUAACUGACGCUGAGGAGCGAAAGGGUGGGGAGCAAACAGGCUUAGAUACCCUGGUAGUCCACCCCGUAAACGUUGGGAACUAGUUGUGGGGUCCUUUCCACGGAUUCCGUGACGCAGCUAACGCAUUAAGUUCCCCGCCUGGGGAGUACGGCCGCAAGGCUAAAACUCAAAGGAAUUGACGGGGACCCGCACAAGCGGCGGAGCAUGCGGAUUAAUUCGAUGCAACGCGAAGAACCUUACCAAGGCUUGACAUACACG
RNAcentral lists this ribosomal RNA (940 nucleotides) under Microbacterium arthrosphaerae. RNAcentral's name for it is "bacterial SSU rRNA". It matches the Rfam family "Bacterial small subunit ribosomal RNA", at positions 42 to 992 of the family's 1533-position model. The record is from RNAcentral. Lineage: Bacteria; Bacillati; Actinomycetota; Actinomycetes; Micrococcales; Microbacteriaceae.